GAUGAACGCUGGCGGCGUGCCUAAUACAUGCAAGUCGAGCGAACAGACGAGGAGCUUGCUCCUUUGACGUUAGCGGCGGACGGGUGAGUAACACGUAGGUAACCUACCUAUAAGACUGGGAUAACUUCGGGAAACCGGAGCUAAUACCGGAUAAUAUUUCGAACCGCAUGGUUCGAUAGUGAAAGAUGGCUUUGCUAUCACUUAUAGAUGGACCUGCGCCGUAUUAGCUAGUUGGUAAGGUAACGGCUUACCAAGGCAACGAUACGUAGCCGACCUGAGAGGGUGAUCGGCCACACUGGAACUGAGACACGGUCCAGACUCCUACGGGAGGCAGCAGUAGGGAAUCGUCCGCAAUGGGCGAAAGCCUGACGGAGCAACGCCGCGGGAGUGAUGACGGUCUUCGGAUCGUAAAACUCUGUUAUUAGGGAAGAACAAACGUGUAAGUAACUGUGCACGUCUUGACGGUACCUAAUCAGAAAGCCACGGCUAACUACGUG
RNAcentral lists this ribosomal RNA (497 nucleotides) under uncultured bacterium. Its description in RNAcentral is "partial 16S ribosomal RNA". It matches the Rfam family "Bacterial small subunit ribosomal RNA", at positions 28 to 507 of the family's 1533-position model. The record is from RNAcentral.